This 1536-nucleotide long non-coding RNA is filed under the name Malus domestica (apple). Its description in RNAcentral is "long non-coding RNA (MDOM_LNC001815)". Lineage: Eukaryota; Viridiplantae; Streptophyta; Magnoliopsida; Rosales; Rosaceae. The record is from RNAcentral.
UACUCGGUGUACGAUCCAUUAGGUUCCAAUUAGCGAGGCAGUGGGCGAUUGUUACUCUUAACGAUCGAUUGUGAAUUGAAACAACAUUUCAAUUCUCUCUUUGUUGAAGAUUAGUGUUUGCUAAUCUUCAGGGCUUCCACAAACCAUGAGUGACACCUAGCAGCAUGUCAUGGCUACCCAAGCUAAAUAGAAUUGGUUGGAGAACCUAUCCAGUUACAAUUUCAAUGCAAUACGGUCCUUCUCUAAUACAAUAUUCUUAAUCACAUUGUUUGAGUGAUAGUUUGUUUCAUGUCUACUAUCCAAUGUAAUACUUAUCUAUAUGAUUCAAUUGAAUAUGAUUUGUAACAUACUUCCUAAGUCAUAUUCGUAUGCUUUGGCCAAAGACUCCCGAAUCAUAUCUUAGAGUAUUCUCCUUCCACUAUGGAAGGUUAGAGAUCCCUUGUUGUGCAUUCAUAUGCCUACAUGACUAGAUAGCUUGAUCCCAACAAUGCCGUGGACACUCUCGAUGGAAUGCCUUUGACAUGAUCAAAGAUCAAUGACCUAACCAUUAGACAUCUAUGAUGCCUCAGGUCAAAGGACUACUUUGCAUAUUGCAACUUACGAGUUCUUACAUGACAUGUAUGUUCGAACUCUCUUUUAAUCGUUGUUCAGUGUACUCAAUUACUCUUUCAAGCACCUAUGUGUUUGUCUUAGUGUCCAACACUAAAUGACUUGAGACUAGUCAUACUCAUGCUUGAGUUAACAUAACACAUACUAACCUUAGCGGAUUGUCAACGCCCAUUUGGCAAUCCUAUGGCUAGGAACGUUUUAGGAAUGAACAUAAGAGAAAGGUCUCGUUAAUCUAACUUACUUAAAUCACUUCUCUCUUAGAUCAAAUACAUUCCUUGGAUUCCCUUAUUGUUUAAACACAUGAUACAAUAAAUAGUGAUUAACAAUAAGCUUUGCCCUUCAUUAAACAUAUCAUAGUUUAAUACAUUAAGUAUUCCAAAAGCUAUUACAUCAAAUGAGUGGCUUUGUGGGCUUACUUCUAAAAACCUUGUCUAUUACCUCUUUCGGCAAAUCUCCUAGCUCAGCGACUUGGGGGACUCCUGCACUUGAUGAAGCCCGAAACUACAAGUAAGCUUCAAGUGAAAUUGAUACAUUACCUUGUGCAUCUUUAUCGGUUAAAGAUACCACUCCUGGAUGGAAGAAAAGUACUUCCAGAGAAGAUGCCACGUCUACGUAUGAGACAGAUAAGUCAAGUGAAAAUGAUACCACACUUCGGUACUUAGAAGUUUCGUGAUUACUCAAUGGCUUGGAUCUUGCAAGUCCACAACCGAAGAGCUUCCCUCACUCGGGAACUUAGGGGAGCACUGUUUGUACCAUACUUAACCAAUCCCGAAACUACUGAGCACCGAUCAACGUUAUACCGUCAAGGACCCAGAAGAGUUUCCUUCCAACCAGAAGGCCAAUCAUAGCGUGACAUGUGUCAACAUCAGAAGCCAAUCACAACAUGACACGUGUCAAUGUCAGAAUGAAACUAGAAACUCUCUUCUA